UGGGGAAUAUUGCGCAAUGGGCGAAAGCCUGACGCAGCGACGCCGCGUGAGGGAUGAAGGUUUUCGGAUCGUAAACCUCUGUCAGAAGGGAAGAAACCGCACUGUGCUAAUCAGCAGUGCCUUGACGGUACCUUCAAAGGAAGCACCGGCUAACUCCGUGCCAGCAGCCGCGGUAAUACGGAGGGUGCAAGCGUUAAUCGGAAUUACUGGGCGUAAAGCGCACGUAGGCUGCUUUGUAGGUCAGGGGUGAAAUCCCACGGCUCAACCGUGGAACUGCCUUUGAUACUGCUUAGCUUGAAUCCGGGAGAGGGUGGCGGAAUUCCAGGUGUAGGAGUGAAAUCCGUAGAUAUCUGGAGGAACAUCAGUGGCGAAGGCGGCCACCUGGACCGGUAUUGACGCUGAGGUGCGAAAGCGUGGGGAGCAAACAGG
RNAcentral lists this ribosomal RNA (429 nucleotides) under Fusobacteriota bacterium. RNAcentral's name for it is "Fusobacteria bacterium partial 16S ribosomal RNA". It matches the Rfam family "Bacterial small subunit ribosomal RNA", at positions 355 to 776 of the family's 1533-position model. The record is from RNAcentral. Lineage: Bacteria; Fusobacteriati; Fusobacteriota.